AUUGUCUUUUUUUAUGCCUCCCUCAACUUGCUCUUUUUUUGUACGGCUGUUCUGUUGCUCUGCUAAUUCAAUCUUCACACUCUGGUCUUUCUGAUGGAAUGUGCAGUCAGUGAAGACUGGCCACCUGGCCAUGCGUAUAUAGGCGUGAAACCUCAAAUACUAUUGACCAGGUGUUUCAGUUUCAUUGUCCGACCCCUGUAGUAGGCGAUAUGUAUGUAAUAACCGUAUGUAUUACUGUUAAAGGAUUGUUAGAAUAUUUUUUUGAAAUGUGCUCAAUUUUCCAAAUUGCUCAUUUUCACAUCUUCAUUUGACAAUGUGGGCAGUUAACCAUGAUUUUCACGUAAUACAUUUUAAAAAAUUAUGCUGACACUCCUGUUACAGUAAUGCAUAUGGUUACUGCAUACACAUUGCCCAAUAUGUCAUAAAUGAUCCUUAGAUGUAAACCUGACAGAAAACACUGUUCUUAUAUCACCACAGUUCAAAAUCUAAUAGAAGUCAAACGUGAGUAUCGGUAUAUUCUACAAUCAUCAUACACUAUAUGGUCAAAGGUAUUAGAACACCUGGCCAUUACACCUAUAGGAACUUUUUAUGACAUCCCGUUCUCAAUCCAUAGGCAUCAAUGUGGAGCUGGUCCCCCAUUUCCAGCUAAAAUAGCUGUCACUCUUCUCUUUCCACAAGAUUAUGGAGUGUGUCUUGCUCUUUCAUCAAGAAGAGCAUUUGUGAGGUCAGGCACUGAUGUUGGACGUGAAGGCCUGGCUCAUAAUCUCUGAUCUAGUUCAUCCUGAAGGUGUUCAUUGGGGUUGAGAUCAGAGCUCUGUGUGGGCCAGUCAAGUUCUUCCACACCAAACUCAUCUAACUAUGUCUAUAUGGGUCUUGCUUUGUGCACCGGGGCACAGUCAUGCUGGAACAGAAAAGGGCCUUCCCCAAACUGAUCCCACAAAGUUGGAGGCAUGGAAUUGUCCAAAAUAUCUUGAUAUGCAGAACCAUUAAGAGUUCCCUUCACUGGAACUAAGGGGCCUAACGCAACCCCUGAAACCCAGUCCCAUACUAUUAUCUCUCCUCCGCCAAACUUUAUAGUUGGCACAAUGCAGUCUGGCAGGUAACGUUCUCCUCGCAUCCGCCAAACCCAGAGUUGUCCUUCAGACUGCCAAACAAAGAAACAUGAUUCAUAACUCUACAGAACAGGUUUCCACUGCUCCAGGGUCCAGUGGUGGCGUACUUUACACCACUCUGUCCAACACUUGGCAUUGAACUUGGUGAUGUGAGGCAUGUGGUUAGGAUGUGUGUGCUGGGGUUAGUGCCAAAGGAGGUCUGGAACUCUGUAAUUGCUGAGUACACUAUGAUGAUCAGCUCAUCUGACACUGAUCCUGAGAACUCCAGCCAACAGCCACCAAAAGCAUGAAUUCACCCUCCCUGAUGUCACAGUAUUUGACCUCAGAAGAGAUUUAGUUAAGAUAUACAUCUGCAACAAAUUUUUGUUUAAUACAUCCCACUACCAUUCUUGGGCAUAAUGUAGACUUCUUCGUGUUUCGGGUGGUUCUUUGGGGCGCUUUCAAUGGACCCUUUUGGGGGAUAUUUGUGUGUUCGCUGCCUGAAACACGGUUCGCGAACCGGUACAAAAAAAAUUUGGUUCGUAACCCGAUUUGUUCGUGAACAGGACUGUUCGUGGGUCGAGGUACCGCUGUACUCACUUGGUGUUUCUCCCCAAACAUAUUUAUUUUUCAUUAUUCAGUCCAAGUUAUCCAUCUUUAUUCUGAAAAAGAAAAUAACUUAGAUCUAAUCUGGAAUUAAAAAACUUUGCUUUCGUGUGUGUCCAUGAAUGUAUGUACAUGCUUUGUGUGUAAAUAUUGUCUUGAAUUCAGCUGAGAUCUUCGCAUGAGAGCCUUACGUGUAACAGCCUGAUCGUGUGUUUAAACAAAUUCAUGCUCAGCAACCCCGUACAGCGCAGGCUACACUGCCACCAGGUGGUGUUGGAGGGGAAAACAAUUAAUUUAACAGAACAAAGGGACUUAUAACUGAUGUAAGAAUAUGCAUUUAUGAGCAAUUUCAUCAGUUACUGAGGUGUUACCAUACAUUUUAUUACCGCCGCUCGAAUGCUGUUUUUAUUUUUCCCCAUUCCAUUGGCGUACCGUGUAUAUCCGUGGUAUUACCGCGUAUUAUACUCUUCUGCAGCUCUCAUAUCUGUAUACACGCGUUUAUUUGCUUUGUCUAAUUUGUCCUCUAGUUGCAUUCAGGAAAUUUUCUUCUCAUUUCUGUCUGGUUUUGCUUUCAGGUUCUUCUCUUUUACUGCCAGAUAAUGACAGACAAGAUGAGAUGAAUGUGCAGACCUGAUACACACUACAAUAUACUGUCUAUUCUUUGUAAAUCUGCUACAACCUUAUUAAUCAGCAGCAGUCAUGAACAGAAUAAAUUUAAUAAUAAGUUCCAUGUA
Brienomyrus brachyistius is the source of this 2431-nucleotide long non-coding RNA. RefSeq lists it as uncharacterized. The record is from RefSeq and is a predicted model, not a curated record. The transcript has 3 exons. Lineage: Eukaryota; Metazoa; Chordata; Actinopteri; Osteoglossiformes; Mormyridae.